This 464-nucleotide ribosomal RNA is filed under the name uncultured bacterium. RNAcentral describes it as "SSU rRNA". It matches the Rfam family "Bacterial small subunit ribosomal RNA", at positions 26 to 518 of the family's 1533-position model. The record is from RNAcentral.
AGAACGAACGCUGGCGGCAGGCCUAACACAUGCAAGUCGAACGCCGUAGCAAUACGGAGUGGCAGACGGGUGAGUAACGCGUGGGAACAUACCCUUCGGUUCGGAAUAACUCAGGGAAACUUGAGCUAAUACCGGAUACGUCCGAGGUUUUAAUCGACCUUGGAGAAAGAUUUAUCGCCGGAGGAUUGGCCCGCGUCUGAUUAGCUUGUUGGUGAGGUAAUGGCUCACCAAGGCGACGAUCAGUAGCUGGUCUGAGAGGAUGAUCAGCCACAUUGGGACUGAGACACGGCCCAAACUCCUACGGGAGGCAGCAGUGGGGAAUAUUGCGCAAUGGGCGAAAGCCUGACGCAGCGACGCCGCGUGGGGGAUGAAGGCCUUCGGGUUGUAACCCCUUUCAGCAGGGACGAAGCGAAAGUGACGGUACCUGCAGAAGAAGCGCCGGCUAACUACGUGCCAGCAGCCGC